UACGUAGGCAGCGAGCGUUGUUCGGAGUUACUGGGCGUAAAGAGUGCGUAGGCGGUUUUCUAAGUUUGGUGUGAAAUCUCCCGGCUUAACUGGGAGGGUGCGCCGAAGACUGGAAGGCUGGAGUAUGGGAGAGGUAAGCGGAAUUCCUGGUGUAGCGGUGAAAUGCGUAGAUAUCAGGAGGAACACCUGCGGUGUAGACGGCUUACUGGACCAUAACUGACGCUGAGGCACGAAAGCGUGGGUAGCAAACAGG
This 253-nucleotide ribosomal RNA is filed under the name uncultured bacterium. Its description in RNAcentral is "partial 16S ribosomal RNA". It matches the Rfam family "Bacterial small subunit ribosomal RNA", at positions 524 to 776 of the family's 1533-position model. The record is from RNAcentral.